CCUACGGGAGGCAGCAGUGGGGAAUAUUGCGCAAUGGGCGAAAGCCUGACGCAGCGACGCCGCGUGAGGGAUGAAGGCCUUCGGAUUGUAAACCUCUGUCAGCAGGGAAGAACGGUCACUGUGCUAAUCAGCAGUGAAUUGACGGUACCUGCAAAGGAAGCACCGGCAAACUCCGUGCCAGCAGCCGCGGUAAUACGGAGGGUGCGAGCGUUAAUCGGAAUUACUGGGCGUAAAGCGCUCGUAGGCGGUAUGUCAAGUCAAGGGUGAAAUCCCCGCGCUCAACGUGGGAACUGCCUGUGAAACUGGGAAUCUUGAGUGUGUGAGAGGUUAGUGGAAUUCGAGGUGUAGGAGUGAAAUCCGUAGAUAUCUGGAGGAACAUCAGUGGCGAAGGCGACUAUCUGGCACAUAACUGACGCUGAGGAGCGAAAGCGUGGGUAGCAAACAGGAUUAGAUACCCGUGUAGUC
Molecule: ribosomal RNA, 465 nt
Filed under: uncultured bacterium
Lineage: Bacteria
Description: partial 16S ribosomal RNA
Rfam family: Bacterial small subunit ribosomal RNA
Source: RNAcentral